GAGAUCGCCGGAGUAGCAACGUCACAACGCCGCUGGCGAGCUCUCCCUGAUGAACACAACAACUCACGCGAGUACUGGAACACACGGUCUUGUUUUUGGUGCUGCAAACUAGCAGCCUUUUAUAGACUCUGUUAACUGAAUAUAAAGACUCCAUUACAGACUCAUGGCCACCGGCCAUCCGAAAUGCACGCCAUGCCCCUCCAAUUCGUGCGCCAUCCCGCACGUCCAGGCAUGCCGUACCAUGCACUAGCUAAAGACCCGCUCCGGAGUGAACAUGCACACCUCGAGCUGAAAACAUGCACAACCUGACGACUCGGUCAUGCUCUGAACUAACAAACACCAAACCUGACAUUAAGCGAUCAAGAGUUAUUCUGACAAAUCUCCUCCUAAGUCUUGACUCGCUAGACUACUGACCUGAUUGGAGACCAAGCUUCAUGCAAAGCUCCUGGAACUUGAUUCUGCAGAGAGGCUUUGUGAGAAUAUCCCC
Molecule: long non-coding RNA, 487 nt
Filed under: Panicum hallii
Lineage: Eukaryota; Viridiplantae; Streptophyta; Magnoliopsida; Poales; Poaceae
Description: long non-coding RNA (PHAL_LNC000334)
Source: RNAcentral